This 940-nucleotide ribosomal RNA is filed under the name Escherichia coli. Its description in RNAcentral is "partial 23S ribosomal RNA". It matches the Rfam family "Bacterial large subunit ribosomal RNA", at positions 612 to 1556 of the family's 2925-position model. Lineage: Bacteria; Pseudomonadati; Pseudomonadota; Gammaproteobacteria; Enterobacterales; Enterobacteriaceae. The record is from RNAcentral.
AUAAUGGGUCAGCGACUUAUAUUCUGUAGCAAGGUUAACCGAAUAGGGGAGCCGAAGGGAAACCGAGUCUUAACUGGGCGUUAAGUUGCAGGGUAUAGACCCGAAACCCGGUGAUCUAGCCAUGGGCAGGUUGAAGGUUGGGUAACACUAACUGGAGGACCGAACCGACUAAUGUUGAAAAAUUAGCGGAUGACUUGUGGCUGGGGGUGAAAGGCCAAUCAAACCGGGAGAUAGCUGGUUCUCCCCGAAAGCUAUUUAGGUAGCGCCUCGUGAAUUCAUCUCCGGGGGUAGAGCACUGUUUCGGCAAGGGGGUCAUCCCGACUUACCAACCCGAUGCAAACUGCGAAUACCGGAGAAUGUUAUCACGGGAGACACACGGCGGGUGCUAACGUCCGUCGUGAAGAGGGAAACAACCCAGACCGCCAGCUAAGGUCCCAAAGUCAUGGUUAAGUGGGAAACGAUGUGGGAAGGCCCAGACAGCCAGGAUGUUGGCUUAGAAGCAGCCAUCAUUUAAAGAAAGCGUAAUAGCUCACUGGUCGAGUCGGCCUGCGCGGAAGAUGUAACGGGGCUAAACCAUGCACCGAAGCUGCGGCAGCGACACUAUGUGUUGUUGGGUAGGGGAGCGUUCUGUAAGCCUGUGAAGGUGGCCUGUGAGGGUUGCUGGAGGUAUCAGAAGUGCGAAUGCUGACAUAAGUAACGAUAAAGCGGGUGAAAAGCCCGCUCGCCGGAAGACCAAGGGUUCCUGUCCAACGUUAAUCGGGGCAGGGUGAGUCGACCCCUAAGGCGAGGCCGAAAGGCGUAGUCGAUGGGAAACAGGUUAAUAUUCCUGUACUUGGUGUUACUGCGAAGGGGGGACGGAGAAGGCUAUGUUGGCCGGGCGACGGUUGUCCCGGUUUAAGCGUGUAGGCUGGUUUUCCAGGCAAAUCCGGAAAACCAAGGC